Molecule: long non-coding RNA, 1003 nt
Organism: Quercus lobata
Lineage: Eukaryota; Viridiplantae; Streptophyta; Magnoliopsida; Fagales; Fagaceae
Exons: 3
Source: RefSeq, a predicted model, not a curated record
ACAACGAAAAAAAGUUAAAAAACCCUAAAUUGAAAAAACUCUCAGCUCACUCUCACCACCAAACUCAGAUCGAUCACUCUCAACACCAAACUCUCAAACAAACCCUCACUCUCUAUCACUCUAAACACCACGCCUCAUCGACGCCACCGCCACCUCCGAGAACCGAUUGCCACCACCGCCACCUCGAACCUCUCUGUUAGCCAUCAUAGAUUACUCGCAAAGGGUGGACUUGAUUCAGGAUCUGAGGUUUGAAACUGCAACCACCAAGAUUAAGGCAACUCCUGAUGGGGAGUUUCUUAUAGCGUCAGGUUUGAACAUGAAGCCAGUUCUUAGAGCAAAUGGAACUCCAUACUUCGAUCCCCUGCUGGUUUUUUAUGUAAGGGACGUGAUGCACACCAAGGAGCUGGACAUGCCGAUUAUACAAGUGGAAAUGGAGCUGAACUUGCACAAGACCCUUUGUCAUUUUCUAGUGGCCCAAUUACAAGACUUAGAGCCAAACGUUUCAAGGAAGCACUAAAUGGGAUAGUCCAAGAGAAUUGGGCUGAUUCUAAAAAGACCAAGAUGGGCUCAAAUAAUAAUCAAGGCUUAGUUCAUGUCAUCAAAGCAAUUGAAGAGGCUAAUGCAUGCAAAUUCGCAACCAGCAUGGUCUGACCAUAAAAGGGUGCGAAUUUGUUAAGUUCCGAGGAUAUUAAAUGGGAAGAUGUCUUGGUAGCAUGGUUUGACCAUAAAAGGGUGUGAAUUUGUUAAGUUCUAAGGAUAUUAAAUGGGAAGAUGCCUUGGUAUUGGCUGGGCAUGUUAAUUCUAGUCAUUUAGCUAUUUUUUACUGCCUUUAGAAGUCCUAGAAAACUAAAAAAAUGUGGGAACUUGAUUAUAUUAAUUUUUGUGUUGUUUUUGAAGUUGUAAUUAUGAUUUUUACCUAUUCUUGGAGGGUUGUUCCAAGUAUAUAUCUAGUAGUAUGAAUUUUAAAGAGGACAGAUUGGUAUUCAGAAAAUUAUUCUCCUUA